UUUGAUGAGAUCUUCGGAUGGAUUUAAAACAGCUUAGUGGCGGACGGGUGAGUAACGCGUGGGUAACCUGCCUCACACUGGGGGAUAACAGUUAGAAAUAGCUGCUAAUACCGCAUAAGCGCACGGUUCCGCAUGGAACGGUGUGAAAAACUCCGGUGGUACAGGAUGGUCCCGCGUCUGAUUAGCCAGUUGGCAGGGUAACGGCCUACCAAAGCGACGAUCAGUAGCCGACCUGAGAGGGUGACCGGCCACAUUGGGACUGAGACACGGCCCAAACUCC
This 280-nucleotide ribosomal RNA is filed under the name uncultured Lachnospiraceae bacterium. Its description in RNAcentral is "partial 16S ribosomal RNA". It matches the Rfam family "Bacterial small subunit ribosomal RNA", at positions 62 to 339 of the family's 1533-position model. The record is from RNAcentral. Lineage: Bacteria; Bacillati; Bacillota; Clostridia; Lachnospirales; Lachnospiraceae.